This is a non-coding RNA of Staphylotrichum longicolle, 82 nucleotides long. NCBI's taxonomy places the organism in Eukaryota, Fungi, Ascomycota, Sordariomycetes, Sordariales, Chaetomiaceae. The record is from the annotation of a GenBank genome assembly.
UCUUCCGUAGUAUAGUGGUCAGUAUGUGAGCUUGUCAUCACCGGCAUCGCUCGAGACCCGGGUUCAAUUCCCGGCGGGAGAG